CACAAGCGGUGGAGCAUGUGGUUAAUUCGACGCAACGCGAAGAACCUUACCAGGGCUUGACAUCCUCUGACCGCAUAUGAAAGUAUGUUUCUGGCUUCGGUCAGACAGAGAGACGGGUGGUGCAUGGUUGUCGUCAGCUCGUGUCGUGAGAUGUUGGGUUAAGUCCCGCAACGAGCGCAACCCCUACGUUUAGUUGCUAACGUGUAACGAUGAGCACUCUAGGCGGACUGCCGUUGACAAAACGGAGGAAGGUGGGGAUGACGUCAAAUCAUCAUGCCCCUUAUGUUCUGGGCUACACACGUGCUACAAUGGCCGGUACAAAGGGACGCAAAGCCGCGAGGUGGAGCAAAUCCGAUAAAAGCCGGUCUCAGUUCGGAUUAGAGUCUGCAACUCGACUCUAUGAAGUUGGAAUCGCUAGUAAUCGCGGAUCAGCACGCCGCGGUGAAUACGUUCCCGGGCCUU
This 462-nucleotide ribosomal RNA is filed under the name uncultured Cryptanaerobacter sp. RNAcentral describes it as "bacterial SSU rRNA". It matches the Rfam family "Bacterial small subunit ribosomal RNA", at positions 924 to 1382 of the family's 1533-position model. The record is from RNAcentral. Lineage: Bacteria; Bacillati; Bacillota; Clostridia; Eubacteriales; Desulfotomaculaceae.